UGCUUCUUCUAGCCUUUCGUUUUCCUCAAUCCAUUCACCUGACUGGUAGAGCAAGCUCUUCCACUUUCAAAGGAGAAAAACUAGAGUCUUCUACCUCCCUCCUGUUCCAGAUGACCAAACAAUAUAAUUUUAUCAUAUUAUCCUUGGAACAAUCCUCUUAACAAAAGACUUUAAAAGCAAACGUUGCAUUCUGGACAAAAUAGGUACUUUCGAAUUGGUCUCCUUUACCAUCAUCGGAAAAUGGGAGAAUAAGAACAUAAUUUCUUCUAAUCCAUGAAGCUUUCCUCAUCCAAUUUUUUUCUUGUUGUCCCUUCCAAUCUCCUUUGCUUUAUGGAGUCCCCCUCUGCUAAUCCGUCCCAUUCUUUGUUUUUUUUUUAAGGAAGGAUCCUUUUAUAGAACAGGGAUAAUCAGUGGUCAUUUUGGAAACACUAGAUUCUCAGCAACAAUAACACAGAAUUCUCAACAUGCAAUCCCAAAGAGUACGGAAAUCAAUCUUCAAGUAUUGAUUAAAACCAGUUGAUACGUAGUCGUCAAAUCCUCAUGUUACAAGCAGUCGUUGUUUGAACACCAGCCCCAGCAAACAUGAAUACGAGCAUUACUGGCGAGAAAACUACGUGUCAAGGUCUCAAGCUUGCUGCACAGCCCACCAACAAGGAGAUUUGUUCUCCUAAAACUAGUUGGACUCUUCAUUGCAUCCUUUUCGCCAUUUUUUUAAAACUACCAUGGUAUUUUUAAUUGAGUUAAUCGAGAGAGAAAAGUUCUGCGU
Molecule: long non-coding RNA, 766 nt
Organism: Populus euphratica (Euphrates poplar)
Lineage: Eukaryota; Viridiplantae; Streptophyta; Magnoliopsida; Malpighiales; Salicaceae
Exons: 2
Source: RefSeq, a predicted model, not a curated record